This 464-nucleotide ribosomal RNA is filed under the name uncultured bacterium. RNAcentral describes it as "partial 16S ribosomal RNA". It matches the Rfam family "Bacterial small subunit ribosomal RNA", at positions 28 to 506 of the family's 1533-position model. The record is from RNAcentral.
GACGAACGCUGGCGGCGUGCUUAACACAUGCAAGUCGAACGGUAAGGCUCCAGCUUGCUGGGGUACACGAGUGGCGAACGGGUGAGUAACACGUGGGUGACCUGCCCUGCACUUCGGGAUAAGCCUGGGAAACUGGGUCUAAUACCGGAUAGGACCGCACCGUGAGGGUGUGGUGGAAAGUUUUUUCGGUGUGGGAUGGGCCCGCGGCCUAUCAGCUUGUUGGUGGGGUAAUGGCCUACCAAGGCGGCGACGGGUAGCCGGCCUGAGAGGGUGGACGGCCACAUUGGGACUGGGACACGGCCCAGACUCAUACGGGAGGCAGCAGUGGGGAAUAUUGCACAAUGGGCGGAAGCCUGAUGCAGCGACGCCGCGUGGGGGAUGACGGCCUUCGGGUUGUAAACUCCUUUCACCAUCGACGAAGGGUUUCUGACGGUAGAUGGAGAAGAAGCACCGGCUAACUACGU